UAGCGCAGCUUGGUAGCGCACCUGGUUUGGGACCAGGGGGUCAAAGGUUCGAAUCC
This 56-nucleotide transfer RNA is filed under the name Psychromonas sp. MB-3u-54. RNAcentral's name for it is "tRNA-Pro". It matches the Rfam family "tRNA", at positions 8 to 60 of the family's 71-position model. From Rfam's summary of the family: Transfer RNA (tRNA) molecules are approximately 80 nucleotides in length. Their secondary structure includes four short double-helical elements and three loops (D, anti-codon, and T loops). Further hydrogen bonds mediate the characteristic L-shaped molecular structure. tRNAs have two regions of fundamental functional importance: the anti-codon, which is responsible for specific mRNA codon recognition, and the 3' end, to which the tRNAs corresponding amino acid is attached (by aminoacyl-tRNA synthetases). tRNAs cope with the degeneracy of the genetic code in two manners: having more than one tRNA (with a specific anti-codon) for a particular amino acid; and 'wobble' base-pairing, i.e. permitting non-standard base-pairing at the 3rd anti-codon position. The record is from RNAcentral. Lineage: Bacteria; Pseudomonadati; Pseudomonadota; Gammaproteobacteria; Alteromonadales; Psychromonadaceae.